UACGUAGGUGGCAAGCGUUGUCCGGAAUUAUUGGGCGUAAAGCGCGCGCAGGCGGUCCUUUAAGUCUGAUGUGAAAGCCCACGGCUCAACCGAGGAAGUGCGCCCGAAACUGCAUGGCUUGAGUACCGGAGAGGAUGGCGGAAUUCCCCAAGUAGAGGUGAAAUUCGUAGAUAUGGGGAGGAACACCGGUGGCGAAGGCGGCCAUCUGGACGGAUACUGACGCUGAGACGCGAAAGCGUGGGGAGCAAACAGGG
This 254-nucleotide ribosomal RNA is filed under the name uncultured bacterium. RNAcentral's name for it is "partial 16S ribosomal RNA". It matches the Rfam family "Bacterial small subunit ribosomal RNA", at positions 524 to 777 of the family's 1533-position model. The record is from RNAcentral.